Molecule: transfer RNA, 77 nt
Filed under: Clostridia bacterium
Lineage: Bacteria; Bacillati; Bacillota; Clostridia
Description: tRNA-Arg
Rfam family: tRNA
About the family: Transfer RNA (tRNA) molecules are approximately 80 nucleotides in length. Their secondary structure includes four short double-helical elements and three loops (D, anti-codon, and T loops). Further hydrogen bonds mediate the characteristic L-shaped molecular structure. tRNAs have two regions of fundamental functional importance: the anti-codon, which is responsible for specific mRNA codon recognition, and the 3' end, to which the tRNAs corresponding amino acid is attached (by aminoacyl-tRNA synthetases). tRNAs cope with the degeneracy of the genetic code in two manners: having more than one tRNA (with a specific anti-codon) for a particular amino acid; and 'wobble' base-pairing, i.e. permitting non-standard base-pairing at the 3rd anti-codon position.
Source: RNAcentral
GUGCCUGUAGCUCAGUCGGAUAGAGCAUCUGCCUUCUAAGCAGAGGGCCCCGUGUUCGAGUCACGGCAGGCGCGCCA